GACGAACGCUGGCGGCGUGCUUAACACAUGCAAGUCGAACGGAAAGGCCCUGCUUUUGUGUGGUGCUCGAGUGGCGAACGGGUGGGUAACACGUGAGUAACCUGCCCUUGACUUUGGGAUAACUUCAGGAAACUGGGGCUAAUACCGGAUAGGAGCUCCUGCUGCAUGGUGGGGGUUGGAAAGUUUCGGCGGUUGGGGAUGGACUCGCGGCUUAUCAGCUUGUUGGUGGGGUAGUGGCUUACCAAGGCUUUGACGGGUAGCCGGCCUGAGAGGGUGACCGGCCACAUUGGGACUGAGAUACGGCCCAGACUCCUACGGGAGGCAGCAGUGGGGAAUAUUGCACAAUGGGCGGAAGCCUGAUGCAGCAACGCCGCGUGCGGGAUGACGGCCUUCGGGUUGUAAACCGCUUUCGCCUGUGACGAAGCGUGAGUGACGGUAAUGGGUAAAGAAGCACCGGCUAACUACGUG
Molecule: ribosomal RNA, 468 nt
Filed under: uncultured bacterium
Lineage: Bacteria
Description: partial 16S ribosomal RNA
Rfam family: Bacterial small subunit ribosomal RNA
Source: RNAcentral